CAGCGUCAAAUAAAAAAUAAGAGGUAGUACUAUUUUCUGGGCGGUCGUCCAUUCAACAAGGUACAAAAUGCAGUGAAUUUAUUAACUAAUUAUAUUUGUUUGUUAAACCCCUUUCCAUGUUGUACUCCCUAACACAUAUGCUCUCAAGCUUUGUGGCCUACAACAAUGGUAUUUACUGCGAUAGAAGCCAUGCCCCAGAUUUUUUCGCAACCUGCACUGCUAUUUUUUCUAUGUGAAGUUUUUUUAUCAAACAUUGUUGUCGAUGUCAUAACAGAUGAGUUAUACAUAUCUCCAAAGUUGCUACUACACAUUACUCACCCUUCCUUAUUUUCCUUCACCUCCUCGCCCAAGAAUAUCCGCUUCAUCUAGUUUUGACUAUUCAUUUUAUUGAUCAUUUGUGCACACAUGGCCACAUUCCUAUAUAUGAUUAACAUGCGUCGUUUGUUUUUUUGCCAUCAUAGUGCUCCGUGCUCCAUAUUCUUAUGAGUUCGAAUGGAAUUUUAGUAUGUAGCUAAUGGAGUAGCUAAUAAAAAUAUCAUCUUUUCAUACAAUAGCUAAUUACCACUAACUUCUUCAAAACUAUUUGUUCCCAACUUAAAGGAUAACUCGAGGAUUGAAGCGACACAUUGAAGAGUUAUAGUUUCAUAUAAACUGGGUUAAGUUGUGCAAUUUUCUCUUCAUUUUUUAGAGCAGACACUUACAUUAUUGUUUUUUCUUCACUAUACGAGGAAUUACACAACUAUUGUUUCUCUUUCCUCUCUGUCAAUAACCAUUCCAUUACUCCAGUGAUCAUCCUAUUCGCUCUGAAAGAAAAAAGAACCUCACUGUAAGAUAGAUAUAUUUCUCGGCCCUCUGUUGCGGGCGGCGACUGGCACAGGACGAGGGAAUGCGUGGACCUUGGGUUCAUCGGCCUCGCUUUCAACUCUGACUGCAACAUUCUAUCCGAGGUCGUUACAGACCGUCCUGCAAAGACCUGUGUCGUGCGAAGAACUAGGCUUCUCCGGCUUCGCCCUCUGCUAUGACUGCAACACGCUCUCUAAUUUCAUCAAGGACCGAGGUACAGACGGUUGAAUGCUGUUGCAACACAUGCUGCUACAACGUUCAUUGAUUUUUUCCACUUUACUGCUACUCAGGGAUAUUGUUUCCUCCAGAACCUUUAAUUUUGUGUACUAUAAUACAUAAUAGUCCUUCGACCAUUUAUAUAUGAGCAUGUAUAUUUUUUAUUUCUCUUUAUACUUAGCCAUAACAUCAGUUUCUACUUUUCAGAAUCUUCAACCCAUUCUUCAUUACACCAGAUUCUGUUUAGCAGUUUUCACGCCCUUCUUCGUCAUAUCAAAUUCUAUUUUGUGACCUUUCAAACUUUUCGUUAUACCAGAUCCUAUAUUUCGAGUUUUAGAUCCUUAUUCAUCACAUCAGAUUUUACCUUUAGAGUUUUCACACCCUUCUUUAUAACAACUAAUUCAAACUUUUCGGUUUUCAAGUUCUUUUUGCAGGCUUUGAACAGGCCCUCCCCCUAUAUGCAUGUUGUACAUGUAGGCUCACCAUCCCCACUACUUUCACCAGCUUUCAGAACUGUCCUUCUACCUCUCCUUAGUUGUUCAUCUCAAACCAGAAAAAACAUAUGCAUACUCAUAUAUUUAUUAUUUCUCUUUACAUCUAGCAUUUCCAUAGAGUUAUGAUGUUCGGCAAGAAAAACAACUAUUGCAUAACUUCUUCCAUUGCAUACCAAUAUCAUAAUCAGGAUAGCUUCUCCUUAUAGAACAUGGCAAUAAGCACCUGAUAUCCUAAGAAUAUGGCUGACUGAUAGUUGAUAAAUGUUAUAGCAUUUACCUGUGUGUUAGUUUUUUUCCAGUUAGGUAAAAAUUAUGCGCAGUUAUGAAUUUUGAACAUCACUAUGUUCAACUGCAACUUGAAGCAUUUUAUCCGCUAUUUUAUUGUUUCUACAGACCUUUGGUUUCACUUACGUAUCCACUAACCUUUUAGAUAAACAUAUAGACGCUAACUAUCUUCCAUUUAAUGGUUAUUGUUUCUGUUUUAUCUCAUUGGGCAUUUUCCACAAGUAUGCCUCUAUUAAAGAAAAUGAAACAAAAUUUACUGUGGAUGAUCAGAAAAUGGCUCAUGUACUAGGUAUUGUACUCAUUUAUCACUCUAUUCGAUCUCACCUUUGCUCCAGUAGUCGAAUGGUAAAACAACAAACUAUCUGCACAAGUGGGCAUUUCAUGAGCUUUAGUUCAGUGUGCAGUUUGGAACUUACCAUGAUGGUCAUAUAUGGAAUAUUUUUUGGGAUAUAAAUAAUGGAACAAUUCUGUUUUGGGAGCUUUCAAUCCCUUUUUCAUUACACUAGAUCCUAUAUUUAGUGUAUUAAAAUUCUUGUCGCAUCAGAUUCUACCUUUAAAGUUUUCAGACAUUGAUUUCCAAUUUUUUGGUCGCAUUCCUGCACAAGGCAAUCAGUGAUGAUUUUUUCCUUAACCAUAAUAAUUUGUCAUUCUAUAUUUUCAUGGAAUUUGUAAUUUUACUGUAAGGUGUUGUUUUUAGAAAAAAAA
Zea mays is the source of this 2543-nucleotide long non-coding RNA. RefSeq lists it as uncharacterized. The transcript has 2 exons. NCBI's taxonomy places the organism in Eukaryota, Viridiplantae, Streptophyta, Magnoliopsida, Poales, Poaceae. The record is from RefSeq and is a predicted model, not a curated record.